This is an unclassified non-coding RNA of Macaca fascicularis (crab-eating macaque), 295 nucleotides long. It matches the Rfam family "Metazoan signal recognition particle RNA". Rfam says of the family: The signal recognition particle (SRP) is a universally conserved ribonucleoprotein. It is involved in the co-translational targeting of proteins to membranes. NCBI's taxonomy places the organism in Eukaryota, Metazoa, Chordata, Mammalia, Primates, Cercopithecidae. The record is from Ensembl.
GCUAGGCACAGUGGUGUGUACCUAUAAUCUCAGCUACUUGGGAGGCUGAGGUGGAAGGAUCACUUGAGCCCAGGAGUUCUGGGCUGUAGUGCACUAUGCAAAUCAGUUGGCUGCACUAGCUUUGGCAUCAAUAUGGUGACCUCCUGGGAGUGGGGGACCACCAGGUUGCCUAAGGAGGGGUAAACUGGCCAAGAUCGGAAACAGAGCAGGUCAAAACUCCCCUGCUAACCAGUAGUGGGAUCGUGCCUGUAAAAAGGCACGGCACUCUGGGCAACAUGGCAAGACCCUAUCACAA